This 165-nucleotide small nuclear RNA is filed under the name Fukomys damarensis (Damara mole-rat). RNAcentral's name for it is "U2 spliceosomal RNA (ENSFDAG00000002814.1)". The stretch from base 1 to 114 matches the Rfam family "U2 spliceosomal RNA". Rfam says of the family: U2 is a small nuclear RNA (snRNA) component of the spliceosome (involved in pre-mRNA splicing). Complementary binding between U2 snRNA (in an area lying towards the 5' end but 3' to hairpin I) and the branchpoint sequence (BPS) of the intron results the bulging out of an unpaired adenosine, on the BPS, which initiates a nucleophilic attack at the intronic 5' splice site, thus starting the first of two transesterification reactions that mediate splicing. Lineage: Eukaryota; Metazoa; Chordata; Mammalia; Rodentia; Bathyergidae. The record is from RNAcentral.
ACCGUUUCUUGGUCUUUUGGCUAAGAUCAGGUGUAGUAUCUGUUCUUACCAGUUUAAGAUACCAAGAAGAUUCUGCUACGCACGGUCUCCGUGUUGGUUAAGUCCGCACCAUCCCCGUUGCCUCUUAAGGAAGAUGCUUGCACAUAAGCAGGCUUCCUUCUUUGU